AUUACUGUGAACUACANUUNCCACUUGGNNGGGNNAAGNNAAACCCCNAAACCNNCANNCNNGGCNGNAAACACGAGAAAUCCACAAAACUUUCAACAACGGAUCUCUUGGUUCUCGCAUCGAUGAAGAGCGCAGCGAAAUGCGAUACCUAGUGUGAAUUGCAGCCAUCGUGAAUCAUCGAGUUCUUGAACGCACAUUGCGCCCGCCGGCAUUCCGGCGGGCAUGCCUGUCUGAGCGUCGUUUCCUUCUUGGGGCGGAGCUUCAGACCUGGGCGGGGAAGCGGGCUUGCCCAUCCCCGGCUCAAAGCGAGGGCCGGUCUGCGCGAACUAGUGUGUGCGCGCGGGCCGGCAGCGAACUUUAACCGAGCUCGACCUCAGAUCAGGCAGGAGUACCCGCUGAACUUAAGCAUAUCAAUAAGCGGAGGA
Molecule: ribosomal RNA, 425 nt
Filed under: Pichia fermentans
Lineage: Eukaryota; Fungi; Ascomycota; Pichiomycetes; Pichiales; Pichiaceae
Description: eukaryotic LSU rRNA
Rfam family: 5.8S ribosomal RNA (bases 88-240)
Source: RNAcentral